Bufo bufo (common toad) is the source of this 360-nucleotide long non-coding RNA. RefSeq lists it as uncharacterized. The transcript has 3 exons. Lineage: Eukaryota; Metazoa; Chordata; Amphibia; Anura; Bufonidae. The record is from RefSeq and is a predicted model, not a curated record.
CCUUAAAUGAGCACCAAUCCACCUCCAUAUCAUCAAUCAUGCCGGGUCUUUGCAGAAAGUGUACAUAAGGGGACCAAAAGAGCAGUCAAGACAGCCCGGAACCCACUGAUCAAGAACCGAGUGACAGGGGGCAGAUUCCUGGCAACCGGCAAUUCAUUUGCUUCACUGCAUUUUGAGUUCCUGCUGGGCGUCUCAACCAUUUCCAGGAUUGUUCGUCAAACGUGUCAAGUUAUUUGGCAGCAACUCUAGGACACGUUGAUGCCAGAGCCCAAGGUCAUAUUGUCAGGAUGAGAAGUGUACGUAGCAAACCAUGGAUGUCCUUGAAUUCCCAGAAAUGGCUCAAUAUAUUAUAAUGUUUAA